AUUCUAAUCUCAAUCUUCUGUUCCAGAUCGAAGUCUCAGAUGGUUGAAUUAUCCUUCUGCUCCAACUCUAGAAACCUUGUCUCUGCCUUUAUUGUCCCGGCUACGUAACUACGUACCUUUCAAAGUUCUCGAUAUCUUGAUCUUCGUUUCCAACCUCCCACAACAUCAGUGAACACGUGCAUAUUCAGCUUCCCACCGAAUUACCUUCAUGGAGCAAGAUUAUCCAAUGGAAAGCGAGGCGGGACAAUGGAAAGGAACGCGGUUAGAAAUAGUUUUGGAUCGAGCAGAGAGAGAGAGAGAGAGAGAGAGAGAGAGAGCAGAAUUUUUGCGUCGCUUGUCGACGAGGAAUGUCGGUUUCGAGGUUCCAUGAAGACAUAUCAACCUUUCCACGAUACACGCGCACCCACAUUCAUUGUGCGGCAAACCCGAUAUCUCAUCGUAGGUGGAGGAGGCACGCCACGAGUUAUUGACUCGUUUGAUCCUGGGUUACGCCCCGACCUACCUUAACUCUGACUUACUAUCUUGCCACGAGAGAGGUUUCGGCCCACGACGCGACGCCGCUGAUUUCUGCCCGAUUCGAGCUCCUCGAGGAAAAUCGUCGUUUCUUUCGAAUAACGAAUAAUGAAAAUCCUUUUGGACGAGGAACCAAAGAAUAGAAGGACACGAGUUGUUUUUGUCGUCGUUUGAUUGAAGAGAAUUCGCGCUAUGGAUAUUUUUAUGUUAGCGUAUGUAUUUUUUAAUUUCAGUGGUUAAAUUGAUGAUGAGACAUAAUUUUGAGGAGGAGGAAUUUUAGGAUUUGUUUGCAUCGUUUUGGAAUGCAAAAAUGAAACGUAAAGCAAUCAUUGGGCAAUGAUUUCCAUUAUAAUCCUGAUGUGAUACGCUUGAAACCAAUUUCCCCGAUGAACUAAGCAAAUUUACAAAUAUAUAUCGUAUGAACAAAUGAAACAGGAAUUAGCUUCUCUUUUGGGGUUCAAGCUAGGUGGUCCAUUCAAGUGGAUCCAUCAAUUGGAGGAAAAGCACAGUAGCUUAUCCCGGUAUAAUUCCAACCUGGAAGGUAUUUCUUCUUCUCCCUUCGUUGGAAGCACGAAGUUCCACGCGUCGAAUCGCCGACCUCCUCGAAGAAUGCCACACGUUACAAUCGUGCUCCAAGAAUCGAUCGAACGAAUCGGAUUCGCUUAUAGAAUUGGAAUUCCACAUUUCUUGUCACCCAAAUCGUAUUACACAUUCAAUGAGUUGACCAACGAUCGAUAUUCGAUAGCGUGUGACGCGUUAAUUUCCUUCCAUCGAUCCCUGUAAACGAAAUCCAACACCUGCAAAAUUUAAUAUUCGAAUAAAGUUACUUCGAUAAUUUAUUCAAAAGAUAAUAAUACGAAAAACGGACCAACUAUAAUAACAACGAACAAAUAGUUAUUUUGAUAAGUAAAAAAAUUUAAAGUAACUUUAUUCAACUAGUUAAUUUUUCAACUACUAUUUUUAAUAAUGCCCAAUUCUGGCGAAAAAUCGUGGAGCGUGGAGAGACUUGCCCCUAGGAGGAGAUGGCACACCUGCCCUCGAACGUGGGGAAGAGGAGAGAGGAGAGUCGCGCGCGUAUGUUGGAAGAUGCGCCGACAGACACGCCCUGGUUAAACGGUGAUGAAUGCGCGAAAAAGGGGGAGGAGGGGGUCGAAAGAUCGGUGGCAAAUCGACGCUUGUCCCCUUUUCCAUCUCGAAUCCGCCACGGGAAUGCAAAUGAUGUAUCCGUCUCUAGGAGGAUACCCAAGUCUCCUCCGUAAAACACCGUGACUUAUCAUGCUUAAUUACACGGUCUACCGUUGAAUUAUCGCCGUUUUACGAUAUUAAAGAGGUGGCAAUUAGCCGCGUUCGAUGCCGUUUUCGUUCCUUCCUUCGGGGUCUAGAUCCUUCCUUCCAUCCAAUCAAGAAUACGUCUGUGUUCGCGACGCCUGUAUAAUAUAUGUAACGCGGAAUAUAAAGCAGCAGGGCGUACCCUUUUUGAAAAUAACACGUUUCUUCGAGAGAUAGAGAUAGGCUAGGUUUCUACGUGAAAUUGUUUAUCGGGUAAUCUGGUGCACUACCCUACAGGUAUCGAAGAGUGUAGGUUCCUUGCGAGAGAAAUAUCGGUAUAGAUAUCACCUAUUACCGCAAUUAUACCUCGUAUUUCAUUUACCAUGAUUCUUUCGAUAUACUAAAAAAAAAAAAAAAAAAAAAAAGGAAGACACGCAUACGAACGUAUUUUUUUUUUUAACGAUUCAACCACGUUGACAGAAUGGAUUAAUUGUUCCAUUGAAUCUUCCAUUGAUGGAAAUGGUGAAUAACGCACGCUUGUUUACUUAAAAAAAUCGGCCGUAUCAUUUUUCUCAUUGCGCGUUGUCGGCUCAUUUUUUCGAGCGGUGGCGCUCGAAGCCGAAAAGGGGUGGAAGAUACAUAGCGCGAUGCCCUGAGCCGACGCCGACCCAUUUCUCUUUCGCGCCUCCUUCUCUCUCUCGUUAACGCGAACCUAUCGCCGUUUCAUCCACGGUGCGCGUUUAAACGCCCCCGGUCCCGUCAACCUGAUUUCACUAACGAACCCGCCAAUUUAUAUUAUCGAUCGGAUCGUGUGUCCGCAGUAGGCCAACUUGACCGAGAAUUCAUCGUUAAACCGGUACCCGGCAGCCACGCUCCACCCUUAUCGUUUGCAUUCACCAUCGUAUUGCCGGUGGCCGUUUUUUGUUUUCAAACCGUCUCUCCAACUUUCCAUCUCUUCGAAUCUCUUCUAUCGAACGAUAACCGGUCCUCUGUCCUUCCACCUACUCUAAAUAUAUAUAUAUAUAUACAUACAUACAUACAUGAUCAUUCACAAAUCGAGGAUGUUUCGAAAGAAUAGGAAUAAGGCCGAAUCGAAA
Long non-coding RNA from Apis florea (little honeybee), 2879 nucleotides. The record is from RefSeq and is a predicted model, not a curated record. Lineage: Eukaryota; Metazoa; Arthropoda; Insecta; Hymenoptera; Apidae.